CUCCAGUAACGGGUUGGGGACAUGGGGUAGGAUUUGGGGCCAGGAGGUGGGGGCUGCGCUGGGAGGUCCCCGUCUCUGAUAACGGGUUGGGGACAUGGAUUUGGGGCAGGAGGUGGGGGCUGUUUUGGGGGUCUCCGGUAACGGUUUUGGGGCCGUGGGGCAGGAUUUGGGGGUGGUGGCGCCGUGGCCAUACAGGCAGGAAGGGUGGGCAGGAAAAGGGACAGGAAGGUGACGCUUCCCAGCGAGGGGACUUCCCAGGGCUGGCAGCGGGAAUGUGACGCCGCCACCGCCCAGCAGGACUCGGGGACACCCGCGGAGCUGCCACCCAUGGGACCGACCGCGGGGCUCCUGCCCCCCCUGCUCCUGGCCCUGGCAGGUAGAAGGGGAGAGGGGUUGGGGGGGGGGAGGGGGGGGGGGGGGGGGGGGGGGGCUCACCCCAUAAAAACUGUGGGAGGGGGGGGGGGGGGGGGGGGGGGGGGGGGGAGGGGGUGUGGGGCUGGGGUCCCGGUAUGGGGCUGGGGUCUUGGGCUUUGGGGCUGGGGUCCUGGUUUGGGGCUGGGGUCCUGAGCUUUGGUUCCAGGCUCCCAGUUUGGAGCUUGGGGGGUCCUGUUUUGGGUUCUGGGCUCCUGGGUUUGGGGCUGGGGCACUGGUUUGGUUCCGAGCUCCCAGUUUGGUUCUGGGGUCCCCGUUUGGUUCCAGGCUCCCAGUUUGGAACUGGAGGGCCCUAUUCUGGGUUCUGGGCUCCUGGCUUUGGGGACGGGCUCCUG
Molecule: long non-coding RNA, 767 nt
Filed under: Anas platyrhynchos platyrhynchos (common mallard)
Lineage: Eukaryota; Metazoa; Chordata; Aves; Anseriformes; Anatidae
Description: lncRNA (ENSAPLG00000016901.1)
Source: RNAcentral